Molecule: long non-coding RNA, 398 nt
Filed under: Brassica rapa (field mustard)
Lineage: Eukaryota; Viridiplantae; Streptophyta; Magnoliopsida; Brassicales; Brassicaceae
Description: long non-coding RNA (BRAP_LNC004710)
Source: RNAcentral
GAACAAGAACUUUAUUUAUAUUAUUAGAAAUAGAAAUCUAAACAUUGUAUUUUACAUCACAACAACAAAGGGCUUAUAUAGAAUAUGAAACAACACAAAAGGCCUUUUCGUUUUAUUAUCUCUGCGUCAGAGAAUUAAGCCUUCAAUGACGGGAUACACAACACAGGUGAAGCACGGGAUAACUGAUUUCACAGACGUUGCGGCAGCCAACCGCGAAUAAAAUGGACGCGGAAUAAAUCAGCGGCGUCUAAUUUUUUUUGUCUCCGGCAAUCUAUUAGCGGCAACUUUAGCUUUGGUCACUGUUAUUUAUGUCUCCGUCACCAUAUAUUUUGUUGCCGCUACCUACCGCUUGGAAGUUGCGAUUAUAAAACAAACAGGCCUAAAGUGAACACUUGCAU